AAUUCCUGGCUCAGGAUGAACGCUGGCGGCGUGCCUAACACAUGCAAGUCGAGCGAGAAGCUCUUGACGGAUUCUUUCGGAUUGACGGAGAGAGUGGAAAGCGGCGGACGGGUGAGUAACGCGUGGGCAACCUGCCUCUCACACAGGGAUAGCCAUUGGAAACGAUGAUUAAAACCUCAUAACACUGCAUUUUCACAUGGAGAAGCAGUCAAAGAUUUAUCGGUGAGAGAUGGG
This 234-nucleotide ribosomal RNA is filed under the name uncultured bacterium. RNAcentral describes it as "partial 16S ribosomal RNA". It matches the Rfam family "Bacterial small subunit ribosomal RNA", at positions 14 to 229 of the family's 1533-position model. The record is from RNAcentral.